CCGAGUUCUCUGCUCUGUGAGAUUUGUUUUGUUGGUACCAGAGAUCGAACUCGGGUCUGCUCUAUGAGGUUUGUCUUUACACAGUGCAAGACUUCACUUAGUCCUCAGCCCACUGUAAGUCACAGCCCAACAAGGGAGACCAUAUGACAAGAGAGGAGUGAGCCGGGGACCAAGGAGGACAGCUUCAUGGGACAGGAGCGGGCAGGGGAGAGAGGGAAGGCGGAAAGCCCAGGCAGCGCCCGUUUCCCUCCCUGGCCCAGGCUGACCUGCGGUGGAAUUGUGGUCACGUCACCCAAACACGCCAGGCAGGGCUGGAGGGGACCGGCCGUCCUCCUCCAUGGCCAGCCUGGGCUCCCAUGUGGCCAGCAGCUGUGUGACAGCCAGCAUAGCAGAAAGGACACCACCUGAGAGGCCAACCCGGUCGGCUCCAAGUGUGAGACACUCCAAAACCAAAACACCUCUCAAGUACUAAAAGUACCUCAUGGCACAAUGUGACUUGGACCAAAAGAAGGUAUUUACAGAUUUUCGCUCAUCCCAGUUAUUACGGGGUAUGAUCAAAAAUAUGGUGAAUGCGAAAACUGUAUUGUUGUAAAAGACGCAUAGCCAUUCAUCUCCUGCAAAACCCUCCCUCCUCUGAACACAUCCCAUCAUCCUUGACGCCUUCCGAAGCAGUUCUGCAGUCCUCUCUCCCGAGUGCCUCUAGUCUCCAGGCUGGGGCUGCCUUGGUGUCCUGAACUGAUUCACAGGAUUCCUCUUUCUUGCUCAUCUUGACUUCGGGGAAGAGCCAGAGUCGCACAGUGCCAGGUCCGGUGAAUGAGGGUGGGGACGCAGCGUCCAGGGUUUAGGACCUCGCCUUCUGUUGGACGGUGCUCGGCAGCAGUGUUCACUGUACUCCUGAUCGCACCUCAUGAAGACCCUCAGGAAGGACUCCAGAGCUGCUGCAGUGAUAAGGAAGAUGAGACGGUACUGAAAACAAGGAGUGGUUUGGCAGCUUUUUCUCCUUGGCACCUACAUGCAUUAGCCAGACACCUUUCACCAUGCAAAACUGCUCAGCAAAAAUAACAAGCUCAUGGGAAAAGCAGGACUUUGACUCAUCCUUCAAACCCCCACAAGUCUGAGGUGGGGGACUAACAAAAAUCACCACUGCCCUUUGUCAACAACUGGCCAGACCAGCAGACAGUAGACAUACGACAACCCUGGGGGACGGGAACUGUGGGCACUCGUGGGGCCGGGCUGCCAGGCUGUGGCUGCUGGGGCAGUCGAGGCUCAAGGGCGGGGUGGCAGCCAGGACCUGGGAGCCCUGAGAUGUCACUGCGGGUGCUCUUCGCAGGGAGGGAGCCAGGGCAGCAGGCUCAUUUACACGUUCGUGAAGCCCAGCUGGGCAACGCGUGGAGGCGUCUUCCCUCCCUGCGGAGGAUCGCGGUUCUGCUCCCACUGCUUUUCGUGCCUGGUGCAACUGCCCCAUUACUUUGACACAACUGUAGUACUCCCCAGCCACACGCUCAGUGGUGCCGAGACCACCGGGGCUGGAGCGGAGAAAGAAGGCCUCGAACGGUCCACAAGCCUGACCUCAGGGAGCUCACAGCCCGGCCAGACUGGUCUGAUCAGAUGCUGCAGUGCAGCAGAUGGCCAAGGACAACAGGGCAGAAGGAACAAAGGCAAACAGAGCUUUGGAUAAAAAGAUGUGGUGUUGGCACACUAUGGAGUACUAUUCUGCCUUCAAGAAGGAGAACCUGAGUCAUUUGUAGCAAAGUGGAUGCACACUGAGACCAUCCGGUUAAGAGAAAUAAAUCAGAAACACGAGCUUAAAUAUCAC
Molecule: long non-coding RNA, 1816 nt
Organism: Fukomys damarensis (Damara mole-rat)
Lineage: Eukaryota; Metazoa; Chordata; Mammalia; Rodentia; Bathyergidae
Source: Ensembl